RNAcentral lists this ribosomal RNA (640 nucleotides) under Delftia tsuruhatensis. Its description in RNAcentral is "bacterial SSU rRNA". It matches the Rfam family "Bacterial small subunit ribosomal RNA", at positions 29 to 665 of the family's 1533-position model. Lineage: Bacteria; Pseudomonadati; Pseudomonadota; Betaproteobacteria; Burkholderiales; Comamonadaceae. The record is from RNAcentral.
AUGAACGCUGGCGGCAUGCCUUACACAUGCAAGUCGUAAGAAGGUANGCGAUCGGACGCUGACGGAGUGGCGAACGGGUGAGUAAUACAUCGGAACGUGCCCAGUCGUGGGGGAUAACUACUCGAAAGAGUAGCUAAUACCGCAUACGAUCUGAGGAUGAAAGCGGGGGACCUUCGGGCCUCGCGCGAUUGGAGCGGCCGAUGGCAGAUUAGGUAGUUGGUGGGAUAAAAGCUUACCAAGCCGACGAUCUGUAGCUGGUCUGAGAGGACGACCAGCCACACUGGGACUGAGACACGGCCCAGACUCCUACGGGAGGCAGCAGUGGGGAAUUUUGGACAAUGGGCGAAAGCCUGAUCCAGCAAUGCCGCGUGCAGGAUGAAGGCCUUCGGGUUGUAAACUGCUUUUGUACGGAACGAAAAAGCUCCUUCUAAUACAGGGGGCCCAUGACGGUACCGUAAGAAUAAGCACCGGCUAACUACGUGCCAGCAGCCGCGGUAAUACGUAGGGUGCGAGCGUUAAUCGGAAUUACUGGGCGUAAAGCGUGCGCAGGCGGUUAUGUAAGACAGAUGUGAAAUCCCCGGGCUCACCCUGGGAACUGCAUUUGUGACUGCAUGGCUAGAGUACGGAAGAGGGGGAUGGU